CAGUAGCCACGGUAAUACGGAGGGUGCAAGCGUUAUCCGGAUUCACUGGGUUUAAAGGGUGCGUAGGCGAAUCUGUAAGUCAGUGGUGAAAUCUCCAGGCUUAACCUGGAAACUGCCGUUGAUACUAUAGGUCUUGAAUUUUGUGGAGGUUAGCGGAAUAUGUCAUGUAGCGGUGAAAUGCAUAGAUAUGACAUAGAACACCAAUUGCGAAGGCAGCUGGCUACACAACUAUUGACGCUGAGGCACGAAAGCGUGGGGAUCAAACAGGAUUAGAUACCCCAGUAGUCCCUGUCUCUUAUAC
This 301-nucleotide ribosomal RNA is filed under the name uncultured bacterium. Its description in RNAcentral is "partial 16S ribosomal RNA". It matches the Rfam family "Bacterial small subunit ribosomal RNA", at positions 509 to 807 of the family's 1533-position model. The record is from RNAcentral.